Molecule: long non-coding RNA, 232 nt
Filed under: Phaseolus vulgaris (common bean)
Lineage: Eukaryota; Viridiplantae; Streptophyta; Magnoliopsida; Fabales; Fabaceae
Description: long non-coding RNA (PVUL_LNC000158)
Source: RNAcentral
GUGUAAGUAUUAUGACAAUUCAACUCCUCUUUUUAUUUCAAGAUAUCAUUUUUUUUCAUAUAGUAGACAGUCAAUCCAAUGUAUUAGAGGAUCCAGUCUUAUUUUCUUUAUUUUGCUUUACUUUUCUUUUUCUUGUUGUAUUCCUUUUUUUUCUACCCCUUUCUUUUUUUUUCCUUUAAAACUGAAGAGGUAAAUUAUGAAAAUGAGAUACACCCCCACACUUAUUCAAAAA